AAAGGAAUAGACGGGGGCCCGCACAAGCAGUGGAGUAUGUGGUUUAAUUCGAAGCAACGCGAAGAACCUUACCAGGGCUUGACAUCCCGCGCAUAGCCAAGAGAUUGGUGAAGUCCUACGGACGCGGAGACAGGUGGUGCAUGGUUGUCGUCAGCUCGUGUCGUGAGAUGUUGGGUUAAGUCCCGCAACGAGCGCAACCCCUGUUGUUAGUUGCCAUCAUUAAGUUGGGCACUCUAACAAGACUGCCGGUGACAAAUCGGAGGAAGGUGGGGACGACGUCAAAUCAUCAUGCCCCUUAUGUCCUGGGCUACACACGUACUACAAUGGCCGGAACAGAGGGAAGCAAGGGAGCAAUCCGGAGCGAAUCCCCAAAACCGGUCUCAGUUCGGAUUGUGGGCUGAAACCCGCCCACAUGAAGUCGGAAUUGCUAGUAAUGGCAGGUCAGCAUACUGCCGUGAAUACGUUCCCGGGCCUUGUACACACCGCCCGU
RNAcentral lists this ribosomal RNA (490 nucleotides) under uncultured bacterium. RNAcentral's name for it is "bacterial SSU rRNA". It matches the Rfam family "Bacterial small subunit ribosomal RNA", at positions 903 to 1397 of the family's 1533-position model. The record is from RNAcentral.